This 444-nucleotide ribosomal RNA is filed under the name uncultured bacterium. RNAcentral's name for it is "partial 16S ribosomal RNA". It matches the Rfam family "Bacterial small subunit ribosomal RNA", at positions 339 to 795 of the family's 1533-position model. The record is from RNAcentral.
CUACGGGAUGCUCCAGUGGGGAAUAUUGCACAAUGGGCGCAAGCCUGAUGCAGCAACGCCGCGUGAGGGAUGAAGGCCUUCGGGUUGUAAACCCCUUUUAGCAGGGAAGAAGCGAAAGUGACGGUACCUGCAGAAAAAGCACCGGCUAACUACGUGCCAGCAGCCGCGGUAAUACGUAGGGUGCAAGCGUUGUCCGGAAUUAUUGGGCGUAAAGAGCUCGUAGGCGGUUUGUCACGUCUGCUGUGAAAAUCCAAGGCUCAACCUUGGACUUACAGUGGGUACGGGCAGGCUAGAGUGCGGUAGGGGAGAUGGGAAUUCCUGGUGUAGCGGUGGAAUGCGCAGAUAUCAGGAGGAACACCAAUGGCGAAGGCACAUCUCUGGGCCGUAACUGACGCUGAGGAGCGAAAGCGUGGGGAGCGAACAGGAUUAGAUACCCUUGUAGUC